RNAcentral lists this long non-coding RNA (1874 nucleotides) under Mus musculus (house mouse). RNAcentral describes it as "long non-coding RNA chrX:166380159-166382033". The record is from RNAcentral. Lineage: Eukaryota; Metazoa; Chordata; Mammalia; Rodentia; Muridae.
GUACCUCCUUUCAAUCCUGCCCCUAUUACUUUGUUAUCGUCUUCUACCUGGGUCUGGGUUGUAAUUAACACAUAGAUCUCUCUCUAGUCAUCACAACACACUUCCUACCUUCUUCAUGACUAGUUCAUGCUCUUCUCUAUUUCCUGGAGGUAAGCAUCUCUGGGCCCUUGUACUUGCUAGAGGAUGUUAUUUGAGAUUUAUUAAAGUGUUUUUCAAGUUAGGCAUAUAGUUAAAAAAUAAGUCUUUUAUAAUACAAAACUACUUUAUAGUGCAGUUCGAUUUUAAAAAAAAAGACUUCUAGAUAGCCACCAUAAGAAUUUAUAUAUUUAUUUUUUCAGUUUUUCCUUUUUGCCCCCUUUCUCUUCUUCAUUUGUAUUUUUACCAUGUAGUCCAGGCUUCAUUUGUAUUUCUCACCAUGUAGUCCAGGCUGACCCUGCUUCAGCCUCUUGAGUGCUGCGAUCCUGGCAUGUGCUCCCAUGGCCAGCUCUUCUCAGGUCCUUGGGGACUUUUCACUUGCAUGCCUGCCUCUUUGAAGGGGGUCUUUUCAAAAAUGACCAAUUGCUUCAACUUAUCUGUACUGAAAAACUCAACAUAAACUGCAGAUGGAUUUCAAAAGCCAUCACGAUAGACUCUGGGGAGAACGGUCCCCACCGUCAGAAGCUGGCUCAGACAUUUUAUUCUCACAAAUGGCAUCCUCAAAACACAGUUCCUGUGACCAGCCAUAGAAGGAGCCACUAGGGCCUCCAGACAAUUAAUUUGGAUGGGAAUUGACUUCCUUGCUAAGGGAAAGUCAUAUUUUAAAGAGGGAGUGUAAUUACUGCUCCAACUAGCAUAGUAGGAAAUGUGUUCUUGCCAGAAAACAGAGAAGAGAGCUUUCCUCUAGAAAUGAAGAUGGAAUGGGUCCUUCCAGAGUUCUCCUGAGCAAGGAUGGCUCUUUCAUUCCUACAUAGAUUUUCUUAUGUGGCUUGUUCUCAGUGUGUUAUCUUAUAGCAUGGUAUAAAACCAGCCUAAAACUGCCCACAGUAGAUCUCUUUUCACAAAGGCUUGGCAUUAAAACAGAUUGAAAGGGCCCUGGGAUAGUUUUUAAAGUACUUGGAAAGCUGGGUGUGGUGGCACAUGCCACAUGUGGUGGCACUCAAAGGAGUCAAGACAUUGAGGCAGUCACACUGCCGCUUCCCUGCCUGCCUGGGCCAGAGUCAGACCGGGCCUCAAAACAAAAAGUUUCCAUAAAAGAAUAUGUACAAAUAAUCUCUGGGUUCCUUACAAAUAACUCUUGUUGCCAUGAUAAUACUUUUUUUUUUAAAUCCUGUCUCUGCCCAGCUGGUUAUUUUUUGAGAUUACUUGUUUGAGUUGAUGUUAGAGAUAGGAGAAAAUGUAGACUUAAAAUUCUUUUCUUCCCUUCCUCCCUCCCUGCCUCUCUUCCUUACUUCCUUUUUUCCUGGUAAUUGUGUAAAUUGAGCACAUCCCCAUGCAUUAAAGAGGGGAAAGACCAGCAGUCCAGUAUACAACUGUCACUGUAGAGAGAACUUAAGAGUUCUGGCUAGGAAAAGACUGCAAGCUGUGCUUCUCUGGCUAGGACUCAGACACAGGUCCCAGAGUCUUGUGGCCUAAGCACCACUAGCAUGCUUCAUGAGGGGCUUCCCCUGCAAGUUAAUAAACUCACUGCAGGCAAACAACAACAGCAACAACAAUAACAACUAGCCUUGAAAAUGUGGGCCAGGCACAACUAGCCUUGAAAAUGUGGGCCAGGCACUGCAAUGCACAUGUUGAAUCCCAGCAUUCAGGAGGUGCAAAGGCAUCAGAUCUCUUCAAGACCAGACUGGUCUACAAAGCUAGUUCCUGGCCAGCUAGGGCUAUAUAGUGAAACCUUUUCU